Molecule: RNA transcript, 3166 nt
Organism: Prunus persica (peach)
Lineage: Eukaryota; Viridiplantae; Streptophyta; Magnoliopsida; Rosales; Rosaceae
Gene name: protein RRNAD1
Exons: 14
Source: RefSeq, a predicted model, not a curated record
CGGCUUGAGUAUGAAAUGAUAUGACUAGGCGAGAUUAUGAAAUGACAUGAUCCGAACAUAAUGCAGCAGACUUGACUGUCAUCUUCAUGAAUUUAUUUUACAAUUUAAAUAAAAAGCUAGAAAUAAAUUUUUAUGUUAUUCUGGAUAUUAUAGAGAAAAUAUUUGAAAACAUUUUCUGGGGUUUUUGCCCCUUUAUCAUUGAAAAAAAAAAUUUACACGAACUUUUUCAGUUUAUUUUUUAUUUUUUUUAAAAAAGAGAAAAUAAUAGGAUAUCUGCGGUCAAGGAUUUAAUUAGUUAUUCUCGUGCUCAUACAGGCAGAGUCUGCUUUGAAAGCUGAGAGAAUGUCUAGCAAUGGCUGCUGCAAGUACUCGUGCGAAACUGCGAGCGAGACCCUGCAAUGGAUCAACGCCAUCGUCGACUUCAUAAGACCUUACUCUUUCUUAACGGACGCUCACGUCGUCAAUUUCUUCAAGGAUCGAAUGUGGGAAGCUAUUGAUAAGGAAUGGAUGGAUUGCUUGCGGAAAGAAGCAGUGGAAAAUCUUCUUCAAAUUCCUGGUGGAGUGGUCCAGGAUCAUUGGCCUGCUUCUCUUAAGAAAUUCAUUGUUACUUUGAGCUCUCUCGUGCUUCCUCGACAACAACAAGACUUGCAGACGGUAUUACCUGGCAUGAACAUGACUUCACUCAAUAGUGUUCUCUCUACGGGCAUGAAUUGGAAGAAAAAACAUGAAGUAGAAGUCCUUUCUGCUGUUGUUGAUUCAAUCGCUACCAGUGUCGGAGCCAAUGCAAUUAUUGAUGUUGGCUCGGGUCAGGGGUAUCUUGCACAAGUACUUUCCUUUCACUACCAACAUGCGGUAGUUGCAAUUGAUGCAUGUUCUCAUCAUGGAAGGGUUACUGAUGCACGUGCAGAACAAAUUAAGAAAUAUUAUGCUGCUCAGCUGCGUAAAUCUGUAUCUGGAAACAGGAGUUUGACUCUGCCUAAGACAGUCACAUGCAAUGUGAUGUCUAUUGACAUGUUGAAAGCUUUGGCUGACACACCACUGCAUAAAGAUAAUGUCUCUUUACUGCAAUCUUCCUGCAAUGCAGGCAACGGAAGUUCAUUGGUUCUUGCUGGGCUUCAUGCUUGCGGAGAUCUUUCAGUAACAAUGCUCAAGACCUUUAUGGAGUGCAAAGAAGUUAAAGCAGUUGUUAGCGUCGGCUGCUGUUACAACCUAUUAUCUGAAGAGGGUUUCAACCAUGUUGGUUCUCAAUGUGGUUUUCCAAUGAGUUGUGGUGUUAUAUCUGCUGGCAUUUCACUUGGAAAAAGUUCGCGGGACCUAGCAUGUCAGAGUGCGGAGAGGUGGAAAUGCCUCGAAAAUGAUGCUGGUCUCCAUAAUUUUGAGUUGCAUGCUUUCCGCGCUGCAUUUCAGAUGGUUCUCAGUGUAUACUAUCCCGAAGUCAUGAGUACAAGUCCAUCAAUUGGGCGUCAAGGGAAGGCAUUACGUCGCCGACAACAGAGGGUUGUCCCAAACUCCUCGCUGCACCAUAAAGAAAACAAAUGUUCCUUGUCAGAAAUAAACUCUCAUAUGACAGGAAGUUGCUAUCACAAAAAAUCAACAGAGCUGGAAACAGAUGACAGUUUUGACAUGAUGUUAGAGACAACAUCCAGAACUAAUGAAAACUCCUCCAAUAAGGCCACCAAAUGUGAGAGGAGCGAAUUCAUCGGCAACUAUCCACUUUUUCAGAAAUAUUGCUUAUCGGGGUUAUGUCGCCUUGGUCUUGAGCCUCUGAAGGAAACUGAUAUCCAUGGAAUAUGGAAGCAAGUUGAAUCUUUUGCUGAACUUAUUGGACCUUAUUGGUCUCUUCGAGCUGCUUUUGGGCCUCUUUUGGAAACUUUUCUUUUGCUUGAUAGAUUGUUGUUCCUCCAAGAGCAAGGCAGUUCAAUUGAAGCAGUCAUGUUACCUAUUUUCAAUGCUGCAUUGUCCCCAAGGAAUGUGGCCAUUAUUGCUAAGAAGUUGACACAAAUGUGACUGUGUCAUGCCAUAUGUUCUCAGGCUGGAUGAAGGUCUCUCUAACAUCUGAAUCUGGAUGUAGCUUCGAUGGGCAUAAGUAUGUGUCCUGCUGAAUUUAGUGAUAAAAAUCUGAGCCAAAUGAUGAAAGCUUGAAAAUUCGGAAAUUGGAACAAUGAACUUCAGAAACUUGUGGUACCAAUUCGUUGAUUGCGAAUUUCAAGGGAUUUGAGAGGACUUUGCAACUGUGUAUAUUCUGUAGCAACAUAUCCGCAUGCGCCGGCGCCCACUCAAUACAGUCUCGUCAACAAUUCACUGGUUGGCAUGCUGGAAUGAGAAAGACAGAUUAUUUGGCUGCAUUCAUUUUGUCACGUACUACCUAUUUUGACCCAUUUCCUGAAUGAUCGCUACUCUUAAAAGAUCCAGGGUACUAAGAAACUAAAGAAUAUCCCUGUUGAUGCCUAUGAGAUAAUUUUGUCUUUGUUUUUUUGUAAUGAGGUUAACAUUGUAAUUAUCUGUUGAAGAAAGCUCUGUCGGCAGCAUUGCCAAGGACAAAUAAAGAUUUGAAUCAAGGUGUGUGGAAAGUGGAGAGCCUCUCAUUGCAUUAGAGCACAAAGUUUCACAAUUCAAUGGCUUAGUUCUAAUGGAAUAAGCAAGCCUGGGUUGUCCAUUUUAAGGUAUUGUCGUUUUAGCAACACUUGGAUGCCAUUGAGAUGGGACACGUGUCAAUGCUUUGACUGGUCUUUGUCCUUUUAAGAGUAGGACAUUUAGACUGGAUGGUCACACCCCACAAUACUCUAAUGGGGUUUUUCAGAUAGUGCUUCCUUUUUGUUGCAAGUAAAACGACAAGAAAAGUAGCCAUCCAAAUGGAAGUUGGUCCAAGUAUCACUCGUGUUGAACACAACUCUUUGGAAUGAAGAUGAUGUCUUAUGUUUCAUUCUGGCCCAUGAAGGUGUUCAUCGUCACAAAGUUGUUGUGGACUUGGACAUGACUUGUGAAUGAAUAAUUGUCAGGGGGGUGUCUUGCGUUUGGCGUUUGUGUGGUACUAUACUAGUACAAGAGAAACUUACAUGUCACGAAGUGUACGCUCAUGUCACGUGCUAAGAGAGACAUACACAAAUAAGUAUACACCCGAUGACCCAAACUGGUACGGUUGUAAUGAAAUAAAACCAUUUGCUUA